AUGCCGAAUCUAACUAUGUAUGUAGAUUCUUAAUUUUUGGUCCCGUUUUCAAAUUGGUCUACAUUAAGGUCCAAAGGGUCCAAAAAUUAAACUUAGUUUGAUUUUAACAAAAAUUGAAUCCUUGGGGUUCUUUGAUAUGCUGAAUUUAAAAAUGUACUUAGAUUUUUAAUUAUUGGCCUAGUUUUCAAGUUGGUCCAAAUGGGGUCCAAAAUUAAACUUUGUUUGAUUUCAUCAAAAAUUGAAUAAAUGGGUUCUUUGAUAUGCCAAAUCUAACUGUGUAUGUAGAUUCUUAAUUUUUGGUCCAGUUUUCAAAUUGGUCUACAUUAAGGUCCAAAGGGUCCAAAAUUAAACUAAGUUUGAUUUUAACAAAAAUUAAAUUAUUGGGCUUAUUUGAUAUGCUUUAUCUAAACAUGUACUUUGAUUUUUGAUUAUGGGCCCAGUUUUCAAGUUGGUCCAAAUCAGGAUUCCAUAUCAAGUAUUGUGCAAUAGCAAGAAAUUUUCAAUUGCACAGUAUUGCACAAUAGCAAGAAAUAUCUAAUUGCACAAUAUUGUGCAAUAGCAAUUAAUUUUUCAAUUGGAGUUAUCUUUCUUUGUAUAGAAUAGUAGUUGAUAAUAUAUGUUGGAAAUUUGCCAGACAUGACUAUGAUGUCAUUUUCUAUUUUUAUUUGGCAAUAACUUAAUGUAAAUAACUUCAUUGGAAAUUUGCCAAUAUAAAAUGUUGCUGAUGAAGUUUUUUUUUUCCUUAUCUUAUCUAAAAUAUUUUUAGCUUAAAAGUUGUGUCCAUA
Molecule: long non-coding RNA, 785 nt
Filed under: Mytilus galloprovincialis (Mediterranean mussel)
Lineage: Eukaryota; Metazoa; Mollusca; Bivalvia; Mytilida; Mytilidae
Source: RNAcentral